This 242-nucleotide long non-coding RNA is filed under the name Ananas comosus (pineapple). RNAcentral describes it as "long non-coding RNA (ACOM_LNC035124)". Lineage: Eukaryota; Viridiplantae; Streptophyta; Magnoliopsida; Poales; Bromeliaceae. The record is from RNAcentral.
GUAGGGCUACUAUACUCUUAUGAGUAUAGAGAACUUCAUACUCAUAAGUUGUUUUCAAUGAUGAAGCUUCCGAAUCGACGAUCCACUCCGUUAAAUAUGAUCUAGAGUAUCUGAAACUUCUAGAAAAUAAAUUUCGUAAUUUUUCGAAAUCAUAAUAAAGUUCAUCAAGCGAGUAUAAAACGAACAAUCAAAAUCGAACGACGUCUUAAAAAUGGAUGAUCGGAUCCUUCAAUUUAAGAUCG